UCACAUCGGUAUUUACUAACGGUCGUCGGACUCGUUCCUUCAGUCUGCUGCUCCAGUAUGCUGUGCUUGGAGAGGCGUUCCUGCUGCAGGUAGCUAAGCUACAUUAGCAAGAAGGAGGAGCACUACUGGAACAUCGCAAAAUCAGGAAACCUCCACUCAGGCAGACGUGGAAACCCACCUCUCACUGCCAAGCACUCCCAGGCUGAUCAUGCUUGUGAAGAAGACUUCAGUCUACAACUCUAUACUCCAUUUCUCCAGCUAUCUGUUGUGAUCAGGACGUUCUCUAGUUUUGUGGAAAAUACAUUACCAGUUGUAACUGUUCAUAAGCUGUGUGUGUGUAUAUGUGUGUGUGUGUGUGUGUGUGUGUGUGUGUGUGUGUGAGAGAGAGAGAGAGUCUGUGUUUGUGUUUGAGUGGACCUUUUUGAAAAAGGGAAACGGCAGUUUAAAAACUGCAAUCAUUACAACGUGUAAUUGUAAUUAAAGAUGUGUUUGUUUUCAGUGAGU
Long non-coding RNA from Sardina pilchardus (European sardine), 504 nucleotides. RefSeq lists it as uncharacterized. The record is from RefSeq and is a predicted model, not a curated record. Lineage: Eukaryota; Metazoa; Chordata; Actinopteri; Clupeiformes; Clupeidae. The transcript has 4 exons.